This 450-nucleotide ribosomal RNA is filed under the name uncultured bacterium. RNAcentral's name for it is "partial 16S ribosomal RNA". It matches the Rfam family "Bacterial small subunit ribosomal RNA", at positions 354 to 796 of the family's 1533-position model. The record is from RNAcentral.
GUGGGGAAUUUUGGACAAUGGGCGCAAGCCUGAUCCAGCAAUGCCGCGUGCAGGAAGAAGGCCUUCGGGUUGUAAACUGCUUUUGUACGGAACGAAACGGUCCGGGUUAAUACCCUGGGCUAAUGACGGUACCGUAAGAAUAAGCACCGGCUAACUACGUGCCAGCAGCCGCGGUAAUACGUAGGGUGCAAGCGUUAAUCGGAAUUACUGGGCGUAAAGCGUGCGCAGGCGGUUUUGUAAGACAGGCGUGAAAUCCCCGGGCUCAACCUGGGAAUUGCGCUUGUGACUGGAAGGCUGGAGUGUGGCAGAGGGGGAUGGAAUUCCGCGUGUAGCAGUGAAAUGCGUAGAUAUGCGGAGGAACACCGAUGGCGAAGGCAAUCCCCUGGGCCUGCACUGACGCUCAUGCACGAAAGCGUGGGGAGCAAACAGGAUUAGAAACCCGGGUAGUCC